Molecule: long non-coding RNA, 1475 nt
Filed under: Parus major (Great Tit)
Lineage: Eukaryota; Metazoa; Chordata; Aves; Passeriformes; Paridae
Description: lncRNA (ENSPMJG00000013530.1)
Source: RNAcentral
CGGCGGAUCCGGCCGCUCCGGGACGCUCCCCCCCCCCCACACCCCGCGUGGGAAAAGCCCGGAUUUGGGGGUUUUUGGGGAUGUUUGGGGGUUUUUGGGGGUGUCCCGGUUGAUCCCGGGAGAAGGGCAGCCCGGGAUUGCCGCUGGGAGCCGCCCACGGGCCCGGGAGGGGCUCCCGGGACUCGCCAGACAGGUCCCGCUGGUGGCCCCGGGGCUCGCGGAGGGCGUGGGAAGGGCCCCGCGCGUGUCCCGGCACACGGAGGGGACCGCGAGGGGACAGCGGGGACACCCCGGGGACAGCGGGGGGACGGGGGUGCGGGUGGGUGUCCGUCCGUACCGGGAGAACCGCGGGGAGCUCGUACCGUGGGGUGGCCGUGGGGGGACCACAGGUGGCCUUAGAGUGUCCCCAGGGUGGCCCUGGGGCCGUGGGGUGACCAUGGAGUGUCCCCAGGGUGGCCUUGGGGCCGUGGGGUGACCCCAGGUGGCCUCAAGGUGUCCACAAGGCCAUGGGGUGACUUUAGAGUGUCCCCAGGGUGGCCCUGGGACCGUGGGGUGACCAUGGAGUGUCCCCAGGCUGACCUUGGAGUGUCCCCAGGGUGGCCCUGAGGCCGUGGGGUGACCGUGGAGUGUCCUCAGGGUGGCCUUAGAGUGUCCCCAGGGUGGCCCUGGGGACAUGGGGUGACCAUGGAGUGUCCCCAGGGUGGCCCUGAGGCCGUGGGGUGACCGUGGAGUGUCCCCAGGGUGGCCCAGGGGACAUGGGGUGACCAUGGAGUGUCCCCAGAGUGGCCUUAGAGUGUCCCCAGGGUGGCCCUGGGGCCGUGGAGUGGCCUUGGGGUGUUCCCAGGGUGGCCUUGGGGCCAUGGGGUGAUCCCAGGUGGCCUCAAGGUGUCCGCAAGGCCAUGGGGUGACCUUAGAGUGUCCCCAGGGUGGCCCUGGGGCCAUGGGGUGUCCCCAGGGUGGCCUUGGGGCUGUGGGGUGGCCUUGGGGUGUCCCCAGGGUGGCCUCAGGGUGUCCACAAGGCCGUGGGGUGACCUUAGAGUGUCCCCAGGGUGGUCUUGGGGUGUCCAUGAGGCAGUGGGGUGUCCACAGGAUGACCACAGGGCCAUGAGGUGGCCAUGGAGUGUCCACAGGGUGACCCGUAGACUUUGAGGUGUCCACAGGGUGGCCUUGGAGUCACGAGGUGUCCAUGGGGUGACCUUGAGGUAUCCCCAGAGUGACCCAUAGACUUGGGGAUGUCCACAGGGUGGCCUUGGGGUGUCCCCUGGGUGACCCAUGGACUUGGGGAUGUCCACAGGGUGGCCUUGGGGUGUCCCCAUGGUGGCCUUGGGGCCAUGGGGUGGCCUCGAGGUGCCCACAGGGUGACCUUGAGGUAUCCCCAGGGUGACCCAUGGACUUGGGGAUGUCCACAGGGUGGCCAUGGAGUGUCCCCAGGGUGGCCUUGGAGCCACGGGGUGUCCAUGGGGUGACCCUGAGGU